This 82-nucleotide transfer RNA is filed under the name Candidatus Pacearchaeota archaeon. RNAcentral's name for it is "tRNA-Ser". It matches the Rfam family "tRNA". From Rfam's summary of the family: Transfer RNA (tRNA) molecules are approximately 80 nucleotides in length. Their secondary structure includes four short double-helical elements and three loops (D, anti-codon, and T loops). Further hydrogen bonds mediate the characteristic L-shaped molecular structure. tRNAs have two regions of fundamental functional importance: the anti-codon, which is responsible for specific mRNA codon recognition, and the 3' end, to which the tRNAs corresponding amino acid is attached (by aminoacyl-tRNA synthetases). tRNAs cope with the degeneracy of the genetic code in two manners: having more than one tRNA (with a specific anti-codon) for a particular amino acid; and 'wobble' base-pairing, i.e. permitting non-standard base-pairing at the 3rd anti-codon position. The record is from RNAcentral. Lineage: Archaea; Nanobdellati.
GCCCGGAUGGCCCAAUGGUAAGGCGCCAGCCUUGAGAGCUGGUUUCCGCAAGGAUAUCCAGGUUCGAAUCCUGGUCCGGGCG